This 201-nucleotide ribosomal RNA is filed under the name uncultured bacterium. RNAcentral describes it as "partial 16S ribosomal RNA". It matches the Rfam family "Bacterial small subunit ribosomal RNA", at positions 15 to 210 of the family's 1533-position model. The record is from RNAcentral.
GAUCAUGGCUCAGGACGAACGCUGGCGGCUUGCCUAAUACAUGCAAGUCGAACGAGAGCGACCGGUGCUUGCACUGGUCAAUCUAGUGGCGAACGGGUGAGUAACACGUGGGUAACCUGCCCAUCAGAGGGGGAUAACAUCCGGAAACGGAUGCUAAAACCGCAUAGGUCUUCGAGCCGCAUGGCUUAGAGAAGAAGCGCA